UGAGGAAUAUUGGUCAAUGGGCGAGAGCCUGAACCAGCCAAGUAGCGUGCAGGAUGACGGCCCUAUGGGUUGUAAACUGCUUUUAUGUGGGGAUAAAGUGCGUGACGUGUCAUGCAUUGCAGGUACCACAUGAAUAAGGACCGGCUAAUUCCGUGCCAGCAGCCGCGGUAAUACGGAAGGUCCGGGCGUUAUCCGGAUUUAUUGGGUUUAAAGGGAGCGUAGGCUGUCUAUUAAGCGUGUUGUGAAAUUUACCGGCUCAACCGGUGGCUUGCAGCGCGAACUGGUCGACUUGAGUAUGCAGGAAGUAGGCGGAAUUCAUGGUGUAGCGGUGAAAUGCUUAGAGAUCAUGACGAACUCCGAUUGCGCAGGCAGCUUACUGUAGCAUAACUGACGCUGAUGCUCGAAAGUGCGGGUAUCAAACAGG
RNAcentral lists this ribosomal RNA (424 nucleotides) under Fusobacteriota bacterium. RNAcentral describes it as "Fusobacteria bacterium partial 16S ribosomal RNA". It matches the Rfam family "Bacterial small subunit ribosomal RNA", at positions 355 to 776 of the family's 1533-position model. Lineage: Bacteria; Fusobacteriati; Fusobacteriota. The record is from RNAcentral.